RNAcentral lists this ribosomal RNA (486 nucleotides) under uncultured archaeon. RNAcentral's name for it is "partial 16S rRNA". It matches the Rfam family "Archaeal small subunit ribosomal RNA", at positions 375 to 859 of the family's 1478-position model. The record is from RNAcentral.
GGGACAUCGAGUGAUCCUCAUAUUGGGGGUCUGUCCCAUCGUSUAAAAWACGCGUGGUUAGCAAGGGCCGGGCAAGACCGGUGCCAGCCGCCGCGGUAAUACCGGCGGCYCGAGUGGUGRYCGWUAUUAUUGAGUCUAAAGGGUCCGUAGCCGGCUUKGCAAGUCYYYCGGGAAAUCCRRCGGCUUAACCGUUGGUCKUYCGGGGGGUACURCAUUGCUUGGGACYGGGAGAGGUARGAGGUACUCAGGGGGUAGGAGUGAAAUCYUGUAAUCCUYKGGGGACCACCGGUGGCGAAGGCGUCCUACCAGAACAGGUCCGACGGUGAGGGACGAAAGCUAGGGGCACGAACCGGAUUAUAUACCCGGGUAGUCCUAGCCGUAAACGAUGCUCGCUAGGUGUCACAGACUGUCGKGAACUGKYGUGGUGCCGUAGGGAAGCCGUGAAGCGAGCCACUUGGGAAGUACGACCGCAAGGUUGAAACUUAA